This 253-nucleotide ribosomal RNA is filed under the name uncultured bacterium. Its description in RNAcentral is "partial 16S ribosomal RNA". It matches the Rfam family "Bacterial small subunit ribosomal RNA", at positions 524 to 776 of the family's 1533-position model. The record is from RNAcentral.
UACGGAGGGUGCGAGCGUUGUCCGGAAUCACUGGGCGUAAAGGGCGCGUAGGCGGCGCGGGUAGUCAUCGGUGAAAGUUCAGGGCUCAACUCUGAAUCGGCCGGUGAUACUCCCGUGCUCGAGCACUGUAGAGGCAGGUGGAAUUCCGGGUGUAGCGGUGGAAUGCGUAGAGAUCCGGAAGAACACCGGUGGCGAAGGCGGCCUGCUGGGCAGUAGCUGACGCUGGUGCGCGACAGCGUGGGGAGCAAACAGG